RNAcentral lists this ribosomal RNA (468 nucleotides) under uncultured bacterium. RNAcentral's name for it is "partial 16S ribosomal RNA". It matches the Rfam family "Bacterial small subunit ribosomal RNA", at positions 28 to 507 of the family's 1533-position model. The record is from RNAcentral.
GACGAACGCUGGCGGCGUGCUUAACACAUGCAAGUCGAACGGAAAGGCCCUGCUUUUGUGGGGUGCUCGAGUGGCGAACGGGUGAGUAACACGUGAGUAACCUGCCCUUGACUUUGGGAUAACUUCAGGAAACUGGGGCUAAUACCGGAUAGGAGCUCCUGCUGCAUGGUGGGGGUUGGAAAGUUUCGGCGGUUGGGGAUGGACUCGCGGCUUAUCAGCUUGUUGGUGGGGUAGUGGCUUACCAAGGCUUUGACGGGUAGCCGGCCUGAGAGGGUGACCGGCCACAUUAGGACUGGGAUACGGCCCAGCCUCCAACGGGAGGCAACGGUGGAGAAUAUUACACAAUGGGCGGAAGCCUGAUGCGGCAACGCCGCGUGCGGGAUGACGGCCUUCGGGUUGUAAACCGCUUUCGCCUGUGACGAAGCGUGAGUGACGGUAAUGGGUAAAGAAGCACCGGCUAACUACGUG